UACGUAGGGGGCAAGCGUUAUCCGGAUUUACUGGGUGUAAAGGGAGCGCAGACGGCUGUGCAAGUCUGAUGUGAAAGGCUGGGGCUCAACCCCGGGACUGCAUUGGAAACUGUAUGGCUUGAGUGCCGGAGGGGUAAGCGGAAUUCCUGGUGUAGCGGUGAAAUGCGUAGAUAUCAGGAGGAACACCGGUGGCGAAGGCGGCUUACUGGACGGCAACUGACGUUCAUGCUCGAAAGCGUGGGGAGCAAAC
Molecule: ribosomal RNA, 250 nt
Filed under: uncultured prokaryote
Description: partial 16S ribosomal RNA
Rfam family: Bacterial small subunit ribosomal RNA
Source: RNAcentral